CCUGUGGAAAUAGUCUGAAGCCCUCACCAGAAGUAGAUGCCGGCAGCAUGCUUCUUGUACAGCCUGCAGAACGUUCCAUUGUGAGUGCUGUGGCCUGUGUUUCACAUCGUAUGACAACCUGUGGCCCCGCACCUCCCAGACACAGUGCCAGGAAACUAGACGACGUGAAGGCUGACACAUCAAGUGAGAGCAGCACUGAGACGGAAAGGCCCUAGGUCCUUAAUAACCUCACUGACUGUGCUGGUCCUGGAAACAACUCUUUUCUGAACUCUCAGGUAUAGAUAAAUAUUAUUUAUUUUAAAAUCAAUCAUAAAUUUAUUUUACUUUAUUACUUUAUUUUUGUUUAUUUAUUUUCAUCUUCUCAGAGCAAGAAAGGAAUUAUCAAGCCAUUUGCAACUGAGGUUUUUUGUUACCAGCAGUCUAAUACAUUCUAACUGAUAAACUACCUCAAAGGACUGUUGCAAAGAUUAAGGGGGAAAGGUCUGUAUAUAGGGCUGUCCAAUGGACACCUCCAUGAUAAUAAAAAUGUUCUAUGUCUACACUGUACAAUUCAGCAACCACAAGCCGCAUGUGACUGUUGAGCACUUAAAAUGUGGCUAGAGUAACUGAAGAACUGAAUUUUAAAUGUUAUUUAAUUUUCAUUAAUUAAAAUUAGAAAUUUGAAUAGCUCCAUAUGGUUACUGGCCACUGCGUUGUCCAGCAGAGAUCUAUAGAAUCAUCUGGUACAGUGUCUGAAACCUAGUAGGGGUCAAUGAAUGUUGGCUUCUCUUCCUGUGUCCCCUGUACCCCCUCCACACCUCUCUGAAAACUUACUUGGUCACCAAUGUCUCAACAGGUAGCAACAAGAGCAGGAGGCAUUAAUUUUGGAGGCGAGGGGGGCCAAGUGUUUGAAAGAGAACUAGAUUUGAGGGUCAGACCUGUAUAGAUGUUUCCAAUAACAGUGUUUGAACUUUGUUCCUAGUCUAGUUAUCCAGUGAAACCAGGACUCUGUGUUGUUGGAGGCCCAAGAAAAAGUCACUUCUUGCCAUUGUAUAUCCUUUGCCAGUGUUAUCCUUUGGGCUGCAUAAGAAGUUGGUGUGCAGUUAAGUGCUAACUUAGGACUUAGCAGAACAAUACUUCUAGACAAUUUAACAAGCCAGUGAGUAUGAUAAACGUCUCCUAAGAGCCCCAGCCAUCUGAGGGCUCUUAUCAAUUAAGCCGCUGAGGCUUAGGUGGUAUGUUCUGUGCUGUGAUCAUUUUAGCAACAUCAUGGCAGGUAAUGUCACCUCAUAGAAUGACCUUCAGAGGGAAUUCCAGGCUGCAGGGGUUGGGAUCCU
This 1316-nucleotide long non-coding RNA is filed under the name Papio anubis (olive baboon). RNAcentral describes it as "lncRNA (ENSPANG00000046566.1)". The record is from RNAcentral. Lineage: Eukaryota; Metazoa; Chordata; Mammalia; Primates; Cercopithecidae.